CAGCAGCCGCGGGAAUACGUAGGGUGCAAGCGUUAAUCGGAAUUACUGGGCGUAAAGCGUGCGUAGGCGGCUUCUUAAGUCGGAUGUGAAAUCCCUGAGCUUAACUUAGGAAUUGCAUUCGAUACUGGGAAGCUAGAGUAUGGGAGAGGAUGGUAGAAUUCCAGGUGUAGCGGUGAAAUGCGUAGAGAUCUGGAGGAAUACCGAUGGCGAAGGCAGCCAUCUGGCCUAAUACUGACGCUGAGGUACGAAAGCAUGGGGAGCAAACAGGAUUAGAUACCCCCGUAGUCCCUGUCUCUUAUAC
This 301-nucleotide ribosomal RNA is filed under the name uncultured bacterium. RNAcentral describes it as "partial 16S ribosomal RNA". It matches the Rfam family "Bacterial small subunit ribosomal RNA", at positions 509 to 807 of the family's 1533-position model. The record is from RNAcentral.